This 500-nucleotide ribosomal RNA is filed under the name uncultured Glomeromycotina. RNAcentral's name for it is "partial small subunit ribosomal RNA". It matches the Rfam family "Eukaryotic small subunit ribosomal RNA", at positions 591 to 1092 of the family's 1831-position model. Lineage: Eukaryota; Fungi; Glomeromycota. The record is from RNAcentral.
CCAAUCGCGUAUAUUAAAGUUGUUGCAGUUAAAAAGCUCGUAGUUGAAUUUCGGGGUCAGUAGGUUGGUCAUGCCACUGGUAUGUACUGGCUUCACUGAUUCCUCCUUCCUGAUGAGCCGUAAUGCCAUUAAUUUGGUGUUGCGAGGAAUCUGGACUGUUACUUUGAAAAAAUUAGAGUGUUUAAAGCAGGCUAACGCUUGAAUACAUUAGCAUGGAAUAAUGAAAUAGGACGUUCGAUCUUAUUUUGUUGGUUUCUAAGAUUGACGUAAUGAUUAAUAGGGAUAGUUGGGGGCAUUAGUAUUCAAUUGUCAGAGGUGAAAUUCUUGGAUUUAUUGAAGACUAACUACUGCGAAAGCAUUUGCCAAGGAUGUUUUCAUUAAUCAAGAACGAAAGUUAGGGGAUCGAAGACGAUCAGAUACCGUCGUAGUCUUAACCAUAAACUAUGCCGACUAGGGAUCGGAUGAUGUUAAUUUUUUAAUGACUCAUUCGGCGCCUUACG